Long non-coding RNA from Frieseomelitta varia, 140 nucleotides. RefSeq lists it as uncharacterized. The record is from RefSeq and is a predicted model, not a curated record. The transcript has 4 exons. NCBI's taxonomy places the organism in Eukaryota, Metazoa, Arthropoda, Insecta, Hymenoptera, Apidae.
CGUGUGAUCUUCGGAUCCUACUAGUUGCGCCGAGGCAGUCCCAAUUAAAGAAAUCGAUGCGGAAACCAUCGCAGCAACAUUUUUAUGGACAUGGAUCACACGUUACGGAGUAUCUCUCCGAGUCACGACAGAUCAAGGCC